This is a non-coding RNA of Bactrocera oleae (olive fruit fly), 1152 nucleotides long. Lineage: Eukaryota; Metazoa; Arthropoda; Insecta; Diptera; Tephritidae. The record is from RefSeq and is a predicted model, not a curated record.
ACUGUCAAAUGUUAUAAAAUAUUUGGACUUUGACAGCGCUCUCUCGAAACCAGCGCUCUCAGUGUUCCCAAAUCUCAAACAUUUUUAUCCCUAAACCUCAAACAAAAACCCACUUAAUUCCCCUAAAAAAACAAUUAUUAUUAAGAUAAAUAAAAAAUUAUAUAUUUAAUUAUACUAACAUUCUUUAACUGAAAUUAUCAAUUAUUAUUGAAUUACCAUAUAUAAUUGGACUUGCUCUGCCAAAGCAAAAAGCAAAUUCUUAUAUCUUUUUUUAACACAUUUCACAUUUUUCAAUUAAAAGUUUAUUAUUCACAAUAUAGAAAGCCCCUGAAAAUGGCCCUCAACAUAUAAAACAUAUAGGGGGAAAAUCCGUAUCUUGGUAACACUGUACUAGACUCAACAUUGCAAAAUUAAAUUCUACUAAGUGACGUAGACUUCAAUAUAGAUACGUGAAUCGAUAUCUAUAGUACAACUUUAAAUUUUUAUUGUACUUUUCUGGUUUAAACUUCCAAAAUUUCUCAUACCCUGCUUCAGUAUAUUAAACAAAUUUCUUAGAAUUUAAUUCUUUUUAUUAGUUUUUUAAAUAAUAUAUAUAUUAUGUUUUGAUAAAUAAGAUAAAUAAGAAAUCCCCAAAAAAAUACCCUAAAAAAAUUCUCCCCCAAAAGUUUCCCAAUACUUAAAAAAAACCUAAGAUUUAAGGGAAAAUCCCCAUAGUUGGCUUCACUGGUAUAAAUAUUCAAAUAACCAAGCGUGUUGUAUUUUAAUAUUUAUAACUUUAAGAAUGUUUUGCUUGUAUUAUUAAUAUGUUGUUCAUGAAUUGAUUUAUGGUAUACAUAUAAUGGUUUAAGAUGAUUAUUUCGUCUCAUAUUGUUAUUGUUAUUACUAUCCAUGAAGUGUACCUGCUUUUAUAUUCAAUAUAUAUGUAUAUAUUUUCUAUUUAUAUUUGUUAUGAAAGUAGAUUGUAAUUUUAUGUUAUACGGAUGAAUAUAGGCCCUUCUGUGGAACUGGAAAUUCAAAACAGAUCAGUAACACGCCUAUAUUGCAUCCUUUGAGGUGGUGAGGAAAAACAAUUAAUAUGCAAUACAUGUUCACAUACAAGUUGUUAAACCAUGGAUAAAAUGAUUGAAAAUUCAUUACUAAACAGAUGACAAG